CAAACGCAGACAGGCAACAUGUGGCGUUUCAAGAAGAGGACAGCCUUGGAGAGGCCUUGUCAUUCCAACAUCUGCUGCAGUGACAGGGGAACUGCUGGUGGAGCUGCUCUAAAGGCCCCUCAAGACCGGUCCAGGCGGUCAAAAAAAAAGCUCUGUAUUCAGGCCUUCUGGGAUGCCAGACAGCCAUGAGGCACGCACGCACUCACACGCGGUGCCUCUCAGCAUAUCCUCAGUGUCCCUUUGAACCUGCGCAGAUGUGCCAGCGGUUGACAUGCCAGCAGCUUCACAAUCCAGGAAAUGCAGAACUUCAUGUGACUGGACAAGGAAAACAGCGCCAGGUGAGCGGCAGAGAAGCACGGGAUCGAGACCCCCUCGAGUGGAGCCGCAUGCAUAGUGAGGGCGGGGGACCAACAGGAGCCCUAAUUGACGGCCCUUUAAAAUUCCCACAGAGGAGCCGCGCUGCGCUUCAUGCGGAGGCCGCGCCGUUCCAGAAGAGUGACGAAUGACAAGGAGUGUGGAGCAGAUAAGUCCACUAAUGCUGUGCCUCUCCCCCACCAAGCAAGCAAGUAAGCAAGCAAGCAACCCACACACACACACACA
Long non-coding RNA from Hippocampus comes (tiger tail seahorse), 600 nucleotides. RefSeq lists it as uncharacterized. The transcript is spliced from 3 exons. Lineage: Eukaryota; Metazoa; Chordata; Actinopteri; Syngnathiformes; Syngnathidae. The record is from RefSeq and is a predicted model, not a curated record.